GCCGGGGUGACAGAGAGGCUAUGUGGCGGACUGCAGAUCCGCAGACGGGAGUUCAAAUCUCCCCCCCGGCU
This 71-nucleotide transfer RNA is filed under the name Thermoplasmata archaeon. RNAcentral's name for it is "tRNA-Cys". It matches the Rfam family "tRNA". Rfam says of the family: Transfer RNA (tRNA) molecules are approximately 80 nucleotides in length. The record is from RNAcentral. Lineage: Archaea; Methanobacteriati; Thermoplasmatota; Thermoplasmata.